UUCUAUUCAACUUUUAGCUGGUAAGAAUGCUGCAAGUAAUUGAAAACAAGCUUUAAGUAAUAUGUAGUGUGAAGAAAUAGGCUUAUGGUUUUUGCAAAUGAGUUCUCUGACUUAUAUUUUUAUAUAUAGGGAUUGGUUGGAGGAGUUACUUGGUUUAUUUUUAGUAGUAUCCCAACAGUGUGGGACCAAACUUCACCCUAACAAAGCAUGACAGUGGACUCAAUUGCUUUACAUUAUUGUGGAAGAAAGCUCUGUUUGCUUCCCAACUUGUUGCAGUAAGAUAGAAGAAUUUUUUAGUUAACUAUAUAUUUAUAGCAUAGCACAUAGUUUCCCCGCGCUCAAAACCGUGUACUUUGACGUUGACUCAGUUAUUUCUUUAUUAUUUUUUUUUAUUGGAUAAUUUUUGCUACUGAAGGACAUGUUCCCAUGAGACAUAUUUGGGACCUUUGUUGUUUGGUUGUAGUGCUUGAAUGCAACUAUUUUUUUCCCGGCUGCUUCUCUAGUUUCUGUUGUGCCAUAGUUCAUUGUAUUUGCAGACCAGCAGCCCUUGUUGGUCUUUGAUAGAAGUUUCAUACAAGCACAAUACUAAGUCACCUAAUAUGGUUUUUUUGAUAGUUACCAUAAGGUGUUGAGAAGACUUUGAAGUACCAAUAAAUGAUAUAGUCGACAGGAAUCCCAACCUUCCACAACUUUUUAAGAAAAUCAUAUCUUGCCUCUUGCAGAAAUGCAGGGUAAGCCUGCGUAUAAUAGACCCUUGUGGUCCGGCCCUUCUCCCGCGCAUAGCGGGAGCUUAGUGCACCGGGCUGCCAUAUCUUGGUCCUGGGACCAUGCAUAGCUACAUCACUUAGAAAUAUUAAACUAUAUUGUACCAUGAGAAAGCAGGAAUAAUUGUACAGGAGAUUCAUCGCCAAUGGAUAGUCUAGUAGCUAAGAGACCACAAUUUAAUCGCAGUGUCAUAAGUUCAUUUAUUAGUGGUCGCAGGUCACUGCUGCGUGCGCAACUGGAUUUCCAUUAGCCUCUUAACUAUGUGCAAAUGUAUCUAUCUUCAGAACUGCAAAUCACUGAUCUCUCUUCCUCAUUUUCUACUAGUAACUGAAUACUGCUUGAGAAUAUAUUGGUGAUACGGCCAGUAGUGCCCCUAGGCUUACUUUACAACUCCAAUCACCUGCAGUUUUCUAUUUCGAACAUUGUGAAAUAUCCCUUUUGUCCCUCAAUAUAAUUCAAUUAAGAUUGGUUCAUUUCCUGCUGUCAAAAUGGAUAAGUAGUUUCUCAUCGUGACAUAACUGCCCUACCAAUUUUGGGUACAUGUCCUAUCUGUACAACUACAUGUGAUUAUGAGGUAAUAUUUUGGUGCAGGUUGUUAUAUGCAUUCAAUAUUCAAUCAUUGAUAACAAGUUGUUACUGUCCAUAUGUGACUUCACCGACGUGAUUCAUCAUUUAAUGUUGUGCAUAGUGAUAAAAAUCUGCUUUGUACUAAAAAUGUAAUAAGCAGAUGCAGAUCUGCUUUGGCUCAUCUUAAGAUACAUCAUCAAAUUUUGAUGCCUUAAAUUUUCUGUAUGAGGUUGAGCUGGUUUAGUUACUGGUGUUUCACUUAUUUCUUGAUUUACUGACAAAUUAAUGAAGAUUCUCUACAAAUUAAAUGAUCAUCUUAACCUACCUGCUGCUUCUUUAAUUACAAAAAGAAGAACACUAUUAAUUUGAUUACUUAGUCAAGCCUAAAUUGUGUAUCUUAAGAUUCUUGGAUGCUGAUAUUGAUAGAAAAAGAUAUAGUUGGAUUCUGGUUUUUCCAACUAGGUUUAUUUGAACAGAAAAUUCUUCAUGAACUGUUAUUAUUUUCAACAUUAGCUUAAAAUAUUGCUAUCAAUGUAAUUGUGCUUGAUUUGGUGGUCUAUUAAUUUCCACCAUCUUAUUACACUAUAUUUUUCAUGUGUAGCCUGUGGCAAAAAGAACUUUUCGUACACUAACAAGUCUUUCAUCAAUCUAUUAUCUCCCUCCGAGUUCUAGCAGAGAGUGGCGGAAGCAGAGCUUUCACCUAGGGGAUUCAAAAAAUAAAGAAAUAAGGGAUUCAGCAGCUAAUAUGUACAAAAAGAACUUUAAACUUAUAUACAAAGUGUAAUUUUUCAGCAAAGGGGGUUCGGUUGGAACACCUUCCGCCACCCUGGCUCCGCCCAUGCUAGCAGUAGCAUCCGUCAACUUUGACGAAGUGGUUGCAGUUGAUCUUUGGUGGAGAAAAAUGUUGUGUUUAGCAUGAUCAAAGAUUGUCUUGAGAUGAAUCCUCAUGUCGAUGAACUUCUCUUCAACCUUUAGCUGGCACUGUGGAAUAUCUCUUUUUUGGCCCUCAAUGACUCAAUCAAGAUUGGAUCAUUUCUUGCUGUCACAAUGAAUAAUUUGUUGCUCAUCCUGAAAUAUCUGUCCUACCAAUUUGCGCUUAUCCUUAUUGACAGUUCUCCUCAAGAGCACAUGUCCUAUAUGUACAGAUUCAAUCGAGAAGUCACAUAAACAAAUCAUCUCAU
Nicotiana attenuata is the source of this 2513-nucleotide long non-coding RNA. RefSeq lists it as uncharacterized. Lineage: Eukaryota; Viridiplantae; Streptophyta; Magnoliopsida; Solanales; Solanaceae. The transcript has 3 exons. The record is from RefSeq and is a predicted model, not a curated record.